This 2556-nucleotide long non-coding RNA is filed under the name Oryza brachyantha (malo sina). RNAcentral's name for it is "long non-coding RNA (OBRA_LNC001556)". The record is from RNAcentral. Lineage: Eukaryota; Viridiplantae; Streptophyta; Magnoliopsida; Poales; Poaceae.
AUUCUGGGCCUUCCAUUUCCAAUCCUCCUGCUUGCUGGAUGGAUAAGUUAUGGCGUCUUCCUUUGAUAGUUUCCAACAGAUAGUAACUACUGCUAAGUGAAUCAUCAUUUUCUCUCCGUCUUUUUAAAUAGACAAUACCUGACCAUUCGUUUUAUUAAAAGAGUUCACAAGUCAUGCUACAAGUUCUUUAAUGAUAAAAAAAAUCAUAAUAAAAUAAAUGAUUUUAUAUAUAUAUAGACAAACGUCAAUGCCGAAAGUCAUGUGAGGGAGUACCAAAAACAGAACAAAAUGGCAAAUGAACAUAUGAAUCCAUAGUGCUAUGAACUUGGUGGAAGUUUCAGCAUUUUUUCAGGGACUGUAGUUUUAAAAUUUAUAAGGGCAUCGAAUACAAGUUUUAGAUAUACCUGAAUUUGUCGUUGUGAUGAAGCCAACUUGCUCUCAUAAUUUAAAUGAUCUGCGCUUGGUCAAGAGACCUGAAGAAUUCAACAUGAGAUGCUUUUGCCUGUCAAUUAGCAGUUUCAUAAUAAAUUGACCCAUUUUCUCAUUCACUCGUUGAAUAAAACCUUCUAACAACGUGGUACAGGAACUAUAAAGCCAUAAACUAGAAUACACAUCAAGCUCUGUUUAACCUUACUAAUGCAAAUAAAAUAGAAAACUUUACCAUAAAGAGGACAUGAAAGGAAAAACACAAUGAUCGACCGCGUACCAUUUUGUUGGAUAUAAAAUAAAGGACUUGUAUAUCAAUGGAAUUAAGUAGGAGGCGAGUCUUGAACCCACCCAGCUAGCCCACCAACUUGUGGUGAUAGCCAGCAUACCAUUCUACAGGUUUAAUGAAUCUUUAUAUUCUGCUUAUAUACUGUAUUCACUUCAGAACAUCUCAUGUAGUCCUUAAUUCCUUUUCAUGUUAUAGUGUCUUUUCAAGAAUACAUGCUGACCUCAACAAAUUUCAGGAAGAAGGUUUCACAUCGGGAGUAUUAGAGGAGUCAAUGUUAUAUAUGCACUGACAGGACAACGCAGGGUAUUAAAAUUAUAAGCUAUCUGCAUUUACAUUCUCUCUCUUGUGAUAUAUGAGAUAACCAUUUCAUAUAUCACAAAUAAUGUCAAUAGAAGCUGCUGCGAGAAGCUAUUUGAAUGCAGGAUUUGAUGCAAACUAUGCAAUGCUUAUGAAUUGUUACUAUGUCUUUGUUCUUUCAGUUGAAUGCGGCUGUCACUGUACAGACUCUCAUCGACGUCUUUAGUGUAUCUGGCAUUGUUCAUUAUGGCACAGCAGGAAGUUCUAAUGAUUCAAUGUCAUUUGGCGAUGUCAGUGUUCCCAAAUUUGUUGCUUAUACAGGGGCUUGGACAUGGAAGGUAUCAUCCAACUAUAUAAUCUGCUCCUGUUUUCCACCUCAAGAAGUAACAAUUCAAAGCAAUUGGAAUCUGAUUGUCAGUAAAUCCAGUAUUCUAGCAAGAACACAAAACUAGUUAUGUUGCAUCAAAAAAUUUAUAUAUACAUACUUUGGAAAGAAUUAUUUGAUGAAUCUACCACCCAACCUUCUCGGUACUACAUCUACACAGACUGCUUUGAUGUGUUCAAUGAAAAUAUGCAUUCACUGAUAACAUUGGGACAUGCAUAAUUCAUUUUCAUAUUUAGCAAAUGAAUGAGCAUUCAGCUAGUCCAUUAAUAAAUUUAGCUCUGACAGGAGAACAUUAAACUAUCAAUGCUUCUAAAAGCAUGUCAAUUUAAAUUCUGUGGUAUACUAUAAAUCAAAUCACAUUAGUAGUAGCCUAGUAGGUAAACACAUAUGGGGGCUGGAGUGAAAGUAGAAGACACUUUAUAAGCAAAACUGCAGGAUAAUUAGAACGUAUUUUAAUACCAACUGUCUCACGUCUUUACAUGAUUUCUUGUAUUCUGACUAUUUUAGAAGUUCAAAUCAUUUAAAGAGUCAGAUUCAGAACUUAGCUUUGGAGAAUUUAACGUUCCAAAUGGAGGAGAGAAUCUUCUAGGAGCACUGAAAUUCAGAAAUGAGGAACUAUACUCAGUGGGAAAGCCUAUGAAGGAAGUUUUCUGGUUAUCCGUAGAUUCAACAUGGUUCAAAAUCGCACAAGAACUCAAGGUGAAAUAUAGCAUAAGAAAUGUCAGUUUAUGCUUGACCAUUCAUGGCCAAAAAGUUGUUCUAAUCGUGAAAUUUUUAUAGGUUACACUUGAAAGGUGUAACAACACUUUCUGCUUGCCAACAACCCCAAAGGUAGUCUAUGGGCUAAAAGGAUCGUCAGCAGAUAUGUUUCUAGACAAUGCAGAAUAUAGGAAGUUCCUUUUCAGAGAAUUUGGUGUGUCAACAGUAGAUGAGGAGAGUGCAGCAGUGGUUAUGGUGAGAUUUUUAUUUCAUCUCUCAUGGUUUUUCACUUAAAUGUCUGUCAAUAUUUGCACUCUAUCAUCUUUAAUCCAAUGAUAAAGCUUAAGUUAGUAUUAUGCAUAUAAAUUAAAAUAACAUAUAUUGAUUUCAACAGACAACAACAUCUCCUGGCAUACCUGUGAUUGUAUUCCGGGGAGUUUCUGAUUUGGCUGGAGGGGAG